This 66-nucleotide transfer RNA is filed under the name pig gut metagenome. It matches the Rfam family "tRNA", at positions 7 to 64 of the family's 71-position model. From Rfam's summary of the family: Transfer RNA (tRNA) molecules are approximately 80 nucleotides in length. Their secondary structure includes four short double-helical elements and three loops (D, anti-codon, and T loops). The record is from RNAcentral.
GCAGUAGCUCAGUUGGAUAGAGCAUGGGCCUUCUAAGCAGAGGGUCGGGGGUUCGAAUCCCUCCAG